This 390-nucleotide ribosomal RNA is filed under the name uncultured bacterium. RNAcentral describes it as "bacterial SSU rRNA". It matches the Rfam family "Bacterial small subunit ribosomal RNA", at positions 30 to 420 of the family's 1533-position model. The record is from RNAcentral.
AUUGAACGCUGGCGGCAUGCCUUACACAUGCAAGUCGAACGGCAGCGGGCCUUCGGGUGCCGGCGAGUGGCGAACGGGUGAGUAAUGCAUCGGAACGUGCCAUUGAGUGGGGGGAUAACGUAGCGAAAGUUACGCUAAUACCGCAUAUUCUGUGAGCAGGAAAGCAGGGGGACCGCAAGGCCUUGCGCUCUUUGAGCGGCCGAUGUCAGAUUAGCUAGUUGGUGAGGUAAAGGCUUACCAAGGCGACGAUCUGUAGCGGGUCUGAGAGGAUGAUCCGCCACACUGGAACUGAGACACGGUCCAGACUCCUACGGGAGGCAGCAGUGGGGAAUUUUGGACAAUGGGCGCAAGCCUGAUCCAGCCAUGCCGCGUGAGUGAAGAAGGCCUCGG